This 119-nucleotide ribosomal RNA is filed under the name Triticum aestivum (bread wheat). RNAcentral also lists the same sequence under 2 other names. Lineage: Eukaryota; Viridiplantae; Streptophyta; Magnoliopsida; Poales; Poaceae. The record is from RNAcentral.
GGAUGCGAUCAUACCAGCACUAAAGCACCGGAUCCCAUCAGAACUCCGAAGUUAAGCGUGCUUAGGCGAGAGUAGUACUAGGAUGGGUGACCUCCUGGGAAGUCCUCGUGUUGCAUUCC